Molecule: ribosomal RNA, 774 nt
Filed under: uncultured bacterium
Lineage: Bacteria
Description: bacterial SSU rRNA
Rfam family: Bacterial small subunit ribosomal RNA
Source: RNAcentral
AGAGUUUGAUCAUGGCUCAGAAUCAACGCUGGCGGCGUGCCUCAGACAUGCAAGUCGAACGAUUAAACUUUCCUUCGGGAAAGAUAUAGAGUGGCGCACGGGUGAGUAACACGUAAGUAAUCUACCUUCGAGUGGGGAAUAACCCGGGGAAACCCGAGCUAAUACCGCAUAAUGCAGCGGCAUCGCAAGAUGACAGUUGUUAAAGGAGCAAUCCGCUUGAAGAGGAGCUUGCGGCAGAUUAGCUAGUUGGUAAGGUAACGGCUUACCAAGGCUACGAUCUGUAUCCGGCCUGAGAGGGCGGUCGGACACACUGACACUGAAUAACGGGUCAGACUCCUACGGGAGGCAGCAGUCGGGAAUUUUGGGCAAUGGGCGAAAGCCUGACCCAGCAACGCCGCGCGAAGGAUGAAGUAUUUCGGUAUGUAAACUUCGAAAGAAUGGGAAGAAUCAAUGGCGGUACCAUUUAUAAGCUCCGGCUAACUACGUGCCAGCAGCCGCGGUAAUACGUAGGGAGCAAGCGUUGUUCGGAUUUACUGGGCGUAAAGGGCGCGUAGGCGGCAAUUCAAGUCAUCUGUGAAAUCUCCGGGCUUAACUCGGAACGGUCAGAUGAUACUGCUUUGCUAGAGUGCAGAAGGGGCAAUCGGAAUUCUUGGUGUAGCGGUGAAAUGCAGAUAUCAAGAGGAACACCUGAGGUGAAGACGGGUUGCUGGGCUGACACUGACGCUGAGGCGCGAAAGCCAGGGGAGCAAACGGGAUUAGAUACCCUAGUAGUCC